GAUUUUACUAAAGAUGAGUGGGUUAAAAUUUGUCUCUUUGAAAUCCAUUUUUUACUGGAGUUUGAAACAGCUGAAGAUGCAGAGUUUGAGGAACAAAUCGCAUCAAAAUACAUCUUUCUUCAGAACAUAGAUGCUGUCAAAGAGAUAUCAAAAUCUAUAAAUCGGACAUCAAAAAGAACUAUAAAAUCAAGACAAAAGAGACAGAACACUGCAUCUGAAAAUGACGAAAUUCACCUAUAUUCUGAAAAGGUUCACAUUGUCAAGAAGGUAGAGUUUGAGCUAACAAAUUUAUUUGAAAAUGAGAUUGACAUUAAAAUUGUGAUAGAUGUCAUUACUAAAUGAAUGGUGACAGCCAC
Molecule: long non-coding RNA, 356 nt
Filed under: Mytilus galloprovincialis (Mediterranean mussel)
Lineage: Eukaryota; Metazoa; Mollusca; Bivalvia; Mytilida; Mytilidae
Source: RNAcentral